UUCAGCCCCCAUACCACCCUGAAUGUGCCCAAUCCCAUCUGAUCUCAGAAGCUAAGCAGGUUCGGGCCUGGUUAGUUCUUGGAUGAGA
Ribosomal RNA from Sorex araneus (European shrew), 88 nucleotides. The record is from Ensembl. NCBI's taxonomy places the organism in Eukaryota, Metazoa, Chordata, Mammalia, Eulipotyphla, Soricidae.